RNAcentral lists this unclassified non-coding RNA (1361 nucleotides) under uncultured Neocallimastigales. RNAcentral's name for it is "partial contains internal transcribed spacer 1, 5.8S ribosomal RNA, internal transcribed spacer 2, and large subunit ribosomal RNA". The stretch from base 589 to 1361 matches the Rfam family "Eukaryotic large subunit ribosomal RNA", at positions 1 to 626 of the family's 3401-position model. The record is from RNAcentral. Lineage: Eukaryota; Fungi; Neocallimastigomycota; Neocallimastigomycetes; Neocallimastigales.
AAAAUAAUCCUACCUUUGUGAAUUUGUUUGUUUGAAUAAUUUUUUUUUUUAAAAAAUUAUUGGAGUCUUUCCUUUAGAGUUUGCUUUUGGUUUGUAAAAGAAUUCGAAAACAUCUAAAGGGGAUGGUCAAUAAUUUUUUUGAAAAAAGACAUUUUUUAAAAUUAAACUUUUUGUAUUCAUUUGUCUAAAAAUUAUUUUUAUAAUAUAAAAACAACUUUUGACAAUGGAUCUCUUGGUUCUCGCAACGAUGAAGAACGCAGCAAAUGCGAUAAGUAGUGUGAAUUGCAGAAUACGUGAAUCAUCGAAUCUUUGAACGCAUAUUGCACUUUUUUAGUUUACUAAAAAAGUAUGUCUGUUUGAGUAUCAGUAAAAUAUUCUCAUAAAAAUCAUUGUGUAUUUUAUGGUUAUGAGUGUUUUACAACGAUACAAGUUGUUUCACUUUUAAAUUUUUUUUUAAUAUUGAAAUUUUUCUAAUUUUAAUAAUUAAAAUUGGAUAAAAUUUUCCCGUCAAAAGGAAUAACCUAAACAAUUUUAAAUGAUUAAUUUUAGCAAAAUUUUCGAAAAAGGAAAAUUUUUAUUAAAAUAACUUGAUCUCAAAUCAGAUAAGAGUACCCGCUGAACUCAAGCAUAUCAAUAAGCGGAGGAAAAGAAACUAACAAGGAUUCCCUUAGUAACGGCGAGUGAAGCGGGAAGAGCUCAAAUUUGAAAUCUUCAAGGUUUUACCUUGACGAAUUGUAGUUUAAAGAAGUGUUUUCUGCUGAAGUUUUGGUAAAAGUUCUUUGGAAUAGGACAUCAUAGAGGGUGAGAAUCCCGUAUUUGACCAUUAUUUUCAGCUUUGUGAUACACUUCAAAGAGUCGGAUUGUUUGGGAAUGCAGUCCAAAAUGGGUGGUAAAUUUCAUCUAAAGCUAAAUAUUGGCGAGAGACCGAUAGCGAACAAGUAGCGUGAGGGAAAGAUGAAAAGAACUUUGAAAAGAGAGUUAAACAGUACGUGAAAUUGUCAAAAGGGAAGCGUUUGACACCAGUGUUGUUUUCUCGAAAAUCAAUUAAAAAUGGCUCGAUUUUGUAUUGCUGAGACCUUAAAAGCUCACUGUACAUUUUUCGUGUCUUUUUUAAUGCACUUUUCGUUUAACAAGUCAACAUCAGUUUCUUUUGUUGUAAAAGGGUCAUUGGAAGGUGGCUUUCUUUUCGGAGAAAGUGUUUAUAGCCUUUGGCCUCUGCAAUCGGAGAGACUGAGGUCUGCAGCGUAGACUCUUCGGGUUAGAUACAUUUGUGCUAAGUUAUAGCUUUUUAUAGACAACUUGUUGACUAUAAUUAGUCUUGUAGCUUACUCGCUUAUGCUAUUUUACCUACGCUUAGGAUG